GCCCUAGAGCUAGUGGAAGACCUAAGAUGGCGGCGUUUGCGCGGGGUGUAACCACUGCGUCCUUACGGGGGUUGCAAGGCGUCCGAAGUAUGAGUCCACUAACAAAAGUCCAGAAACUCGCCAGUUAAUAGUAUUGUGUCUCUUCAAAAUAUCGGAAAAUAAUUUCUUUCUCGCUGAUCGCCUAACUUCUACUGACGAGGCUAGGAAGUUGCAGAAGAUGGAGUUCACUCUUGUUGCCCAGGCUGGAAUGCAAUGGCAUGACCUUGGCUCACUGCAACCUCUGCCUCCCCAGUUCAAGUGGUUCUCCUGCCUCAGCCUCCCGAGUAGCUGGGAUUAGAGAAACCACAAUAAAGGCUCUUGCCCACAUUCUUGCCUCACCCUCUGCCUCCUGACUGACACUGGUGCUUUCCUGGGUGACCCCCGACGGUGUGGCAUGCCUCUUCUUGUGAUCUAUUGUUCACUUUUGGCAUAUAGAAACACUACUGAUGCCUCAGAGAUGGCCACGAUGGUGUUCUGGUGUCAGCAGAAUAGCAAUGCCUGGGAGUCCACCACCACCAUAAUCUCCUGUGAUCCCACAGAGCUGCAGACAGAAGGGAGCAAUGACAAGAAAUAAGUGCUGAGCAGUUUUCACAUGGUGCUGGAAGACAGGCUGCUUUUCCCUGAGGACAGAAGACAGCCUGAUGACGGUGGUACAAUGACAUCUCUGUGCUGGGAGUGACCCGCUCGGGGGCCCAGGCUGAUCAUUUCACACAGACACCCCUGGAUCCUGGAAGCCAAGUCCUGGUCUGGGUAGACUGGGAGUGGAGGUUUGACCACAUGUAGCAGCAUUAAGGGCAGCAUCUCAUCACAGCAGUUGCUGAUUAUCUAUUUGAGUUAAAGACAACAAAAUAUCAGAGAUCAGCUGCUCAACAAAGUAUGAGAACUGAGCCUGAAUGAUCCUGAGGCGGAGCAGGUGAGAGGCUGGGGCCUGCCAGAUGAUCAUGCUGGGCCCAUUGGAAUUGUUACCAUCAAGGGUGUUGAUUCCAACAUGUGCUGUGGGAUCCCCAUGAGCAAUCUCCGUGACUUUCCAGUCAUUAAGAUUCUAGGCACUGAGAAGAGGAAAAGGAAUAAAAUCAAACUGAUAUUUUGGUCUGGGAACCAGAUGCUGAAAUGGAUGAAGAGAAGUCAUGAAACUGAAAAAGCACUGAAUCACUCUGCUUAAGUGUGGAGCAGAGGAUCACAUGGAAGCAGUGAAAAAGCUCCAGAAUGUGGCCGGGCGUAGUGGCUUGUGCCUGUGAUCCCAGCACUUUGGGAAGCCAAGGCGGGCAGAUCACGAGGUCAGGAGAUCGAGGCCAUCCUGGCUAACACAGUGAAACCCUGUCUCUACUAAAAAUAUAAAAAAUUAGCCGGGCGUGUGGCGGGCGCCUGUAGUCCUAGCUACUUGGGAGGCUGAGGCAGGAGAAUGGCGUGAACCCAGGAGGUGGAAUUUGCAGUGAGCUGAGAUCACGCCACUGCACUCCAGCCUGGGCGACAGAGCAAGACUCUGUCUCAAAAU
Molecule: long non-coding RNA, 1534 nt
Filed under: Pongo abelii (Sumatran orangutan)
Lineage: Eukaryota; Metazoa; Chordata; Mammalia; Primates; Hominidae
Description: lincRNA
Rfam family: JPX transcript, XIST activator conserved region 1 (bases 5-139)
Source: RNAcentral